UUUCAGACACAGCCAACCCAGGAGCUUAGACCAGAGGCAGCUGCUGCAGGCAUGGGCCUGGCAGCAGGAAGGCCAGUGGGCGGGCAGACAGGCAGCAAGAGAACACUCGAGAAUUAACCUGCCCAGGGCUGGGUCUCCUCAGAGGAUCACGGACAUCCCUACUCCCGCCUUUUGACGACCGAGACAUGGCUCGGGAGCCCAAGCCUGGUCCUGCCCGGCCGGGCCAGAAGAGGCCCUGGGGCACAGCCAUCUCCUGCUACUACGAUCUGGAUUACGAGCUGUACAGGGAAGAAUUCCCCUACAGGGUGUGUGACUACCAAAGGAUCCCUCCACUAAUCAACCGUGCACCUACCAAGAUCCGGGGGACCCACGUGGGCCCGGGGGUCAAGCACAGCUUUAGUCCCCACAAGGCUCCCAGGACUAGUCAACUGCCUGCAGGGCAGAUAAAGCUCCAGACUGAGGAGCUGCACUCCAUCAGAGGAGAGCUGAGCCAGAUCAAAGCCCAGGUGGAUCACCUGCUGGAGACUGUGGACCGCAUGGACCAGCAGAUGGACCAGCUUCCAGGGACGGAGGACUGCGAACAGAACCAGAGCUCCAGGAGUAAGGGUCCCUCAUACAGAACCGUAGAACCUCAUCAGGAGCCUACAGGCCAGAGGACCCAUCCAGAGGCAGACAGCUCCCCGAUCACAGACCCAGAAGACCCCAAGGAGGCAGUAAAGAAUCACGCAUCAGACCAGGAGGGCAGCCAGUAGAAGGCUGGAACUCCCCCAGUCUCAUCAGCUCCAGGCACUUUCUUCGGCGGUUCCUAUCCCCUGCCUUGAGUAGCACCCACGCUGGAGCAAGCGCAAAGAAGUGGAGGCAUGGCUCAGCCAGUCCAGCUGGGAAGCCUCCCCCCAGUGCUGACUUUAGCUUGAGGAUCAUGUUUCCAGAUGACCAUCUGGGGGCUAGCGGGGAAGGAAGGAGCCCUCCAAGUGCCCAGCACCAGCUCACCAUUCUCAUAAAGUUGAGGCCACUCCUGUUAAGAGGCAGCUGGAAAGGGCCCCCCUGGGAGCACCACCAGCCCUCUGACUACAGGUACCUCCCUAGCUGCUUCUCCCCGCCCCUCGCCAAAGCCUUACCUGUCCUCUCUGGGUCUCAGCAGGAGUAUCACUUUUAUGUUGUUUCUACCUUGUCUCUUGCUGGUGUGAUCUUACAUAUUUCAGAUCUGCUUUGGAAAAAUAUGUCACUGAGGAGAAAUAAAAUUUUCUUUUCCCUGG
Molecule: long non-coding RNA, 1256 nt
Filed under: Sus scrofa (pig)
Lineage: Eukaryota; Metazoa; Chordata; Mammalia; Artiodactyla; Suidae
Description: lncRNA (ENSSSCG00015038213.1)
Source: RNAcentral